This 292-nucleotide ribosomal RNA is filed under the name uncultured eukaryote. Its description in RNAcentral is "partial 18S ribosomal RNA". It matches the Rfam family "Eukaryotic small subunit ribosomal RNA", at positions 6 to 290 of the family's 1831-position model. The record is from RNAcentral.
GGUUGAUCCUGCCAGUAGUCAUAUGCUCAUCUUGAAGAUUAAGCCAUGCAUGUCUAAGUAUAAAUGAGUUUAUACAGUGAAACUGCGAAUGGCUCAAUAAAUCAGUUAUAGUUUAUUUGAUAAUACCUUACUACAUGGAUAACUGUGGUAAUUCUAGAGCUAAUACAUGCGACAAGUCCCGACUUUGCGGAAGGGAUGCAUUUAUUAGAUACAAAACCAGCACGUUGGGUCAAACCAGCGGCGACGGGUGAUUCAUAAUAACUUGGCGAAUCGCACGCUCUUGCAGCGGCGA